This is a long non-coding RNA of Lytechinus pictus (painted urchin), 671 nucleotides long. RefSeq lists it as uncharacterized. The transcript has 3 exons. The record is from RefSeq and is a predicted model, not a curated record. Lineage: Eukaryota; Metazoa; Echinodermata; Echinoidea; Temnopleuroida; Toxopneustidae.
UCCGCGCGUUUUUGAUUUUCCAUAGGUUUUGUACAUAACAAACAUGGCUGCCAUUUGGCCAAUUUGAAGGUUGAUUUUGGAAGGUCAAUGUUUAAUUCAUGAGUAAUGACGUCAAAAUACGCAUAAUGCACUUGUAUGAUUGGAUAAAACGCUAAUGUUUUAUUCAUGUCCUCAUGCAUUAAACAUUUUUUUCCUUCCCACAAUUCCCUACGAUAUCUGUGCGAAGUGUCGUUCUUUUUUACUCUGCGAAAUUCAACAUUUGAAAUACAAUAGCAAGACUAAUUAUCUGUUUAUAGAAUUAUUAUCUGGAAUCAUGAUUUCUGAGUGAAAUUCAGUUGAGCAGAAAAAUAUGAGGGAACAUCUACAUCAAAGUAAUGGCAUUCCAUACAAAUAAAAAUCCAAUGGGAUCAAGUUCUUAGCAGUCCCAGCCCAGUCAGAAGUACAAAGUCAACUACCAUUUACACACCACCAAGAGUUACAAUCUGAUGAGGAACAGGAUAUUUGAACUGAAAACUUGUAAGGUUCCGCAGGCAGUUUGAGUAUCACCAGGGCAGAUUAUAAGAAAAAAUAUGGAGGCCAAGUUCAUAACAAGUAGCUACUUCAUCACAAUUACACAUUUUAAAAAUUGAAUGAAUUUGAAUAAACAUGUCAAUACAUAUUGAAUGUUGCUU